This is a long non-coding RNA of Bos indicus x Bos taurus (hybrid cattle), 295 nucleotides long. The record is from Ensembl. Lineage: Eukaryota; Metazoa; Chordata; Mammalia; Artiodactyla; Bovidae.
GCGGUGGCCACGGCCGAGGGCCUCUCGGUGGCGGAGGGCCGUGCCUCCUCGGUCCGCCGGGCGGACACCGGCUGUGACCUUGUAUGACGCCAGUUACGGGGCCACCAGCCUACAAGCCUGCUGACGUGAAAGGUCUGAAGACUGAGGCCCGGAGUGGUGAUGACCCGACCAGCCUGAGGCUGCACACCCAGGAGCUGGGAUCCAAGCUUCUUCCCCACCCAGCAGUUGUAGGCCAGAGGACUGCUUUUGAGAGGAAAAAGGCCCACCAGUAAAGCAGCAAUCUCUUUAAUCUCUC